AGAGUUUGAUCAUGGCUCAGAACGAACGCUGGCGGCGUGCCUAAAACAUGCAAGUCGAGCGAGAAAGGGAGCAAUCCCGAGUAAAGCGGCGCACGGGUGCAUAACACGUGGGUAAUCUGCCUUGGAGAGUGGGAUAACUAGCCGAAAGGUUAGCUAAUACCGCAUAAGCCCACGGGAGCUUCGGCUCCUGAGGGAAAAGGCGGCCUCUGUAUACAAGCUGUCACUCCAAGAUGAGCCCGCGGCCCAUCAGCUCGUUGGCGGUGUAAGAGACCACCAAGGCUAUGACGGGUAGCUGGUCUGAGAGGACGAUCAGCCACACUGGAACUGAGACACGGUCCAGACUCCUACGGGAGGCAGCAGUUGGGAAUAUUGCGCAAUGGGCGAGAGCCUGACGCAGCAACGCCGCGUGAGCGAUGAAGGUCUUCGGAUCGUAAAGCUCUUUCGGCCGGGACGAAAACCCACUACUUCAUAAGUGGUGGCUUGACGGUACCGGAGGAAGAAGCACCGGCUAACUCUGUGCCAGCAGCCGCGGUAAUAC
RNAcentral lists this ribosomal RNA (538 nucleotides) under uncultured bacterium. RNAcentral describes it as "bacterial SSU rRNA". It matches the Rfam family "Bacterial small subunit ribosomal RNA", at positions 8 to 526 of the family's 1533-position model. The record is from RNAcentral.